CCAACUUCUCGGCCUUUUGGCUAAGAUCAAGUGUAGUAUCUGUUCUUAUCAGUUCUUACUGUUAUUUAGCAUAUACCCUGUUUUCUAGUAUUUGCUCAUUAGACCAAUUUAUUAGACCAGUAUAAAAUAAUAGCCCAUUUUUAAGUUGUGCUCUCUAAUACUACAAACUUAAGCAAGUCUUC
Small nuclear RNA from Alexandromys fortis (reed vole), 182 nucleotides. RefSeq annotates it as U2 spliceosomal RNA. The record is from RefSeq and is a predicted model, not a curated record. Lineage: Eukaryota; Metazoa; Chordata; Mammalia; Rodentia; Cricetidae. The transcript has a single exon.